GGACUACACGGGUUUCUAAUCCUGUUUGAUCCCCACGCUUUCGUGCCUCAGCGUCAAUAUUCGUGUAGUGAGCUGCCUUCGCAAUCGGUGUUCUAUGUCAUAUCUAAGCAUUUCACCGCUACAUGACAUAUUCCGCUCACCUCCAUGACAUUCAAGAUACAUAGUAUCAAUGGCAGUUCUCGAGUUAAGCUCGAGGAUUUCACCACUGACUUACAUACCCGCCUACGCACCCUUUAAACCCAGUGAAUCCGGAUAACGCUUGCACCCUCCGUAUUACCGCGGCUGCUGGCAC
This 292-nucleotide ribosomal RNA is filed under the name uncultured bacterium. RNAcentral describes it as "partial 16S ribosomal RNA". RNAcentral also lists the same sequence under 1 other name. The record is from RNAcentral.